AAAAACAUCGCCUCUUGAUAAAAUAUAAGAGGUCCAGCCUGCCCAGUGACAAAGUUCAACGGCCGCGGUACCCUAACCGUGCGAAGGUAGCAUAAUCACUUGUCCUUUAAAUAGGGACUUGUAUCAACGGCACCACGAGGGCUAUACUGUCUCCUUUCUCCAAUCAGUGAAACUGAUCUCCCCGUGAAGAAGCGGGGAUUCUACUAUAAGACGAGAAGACCCCAUGGAGCUUUAAACUCACCAUACACCUCUAUGCCCCACAUCAACUUACACAAGAAAUCUGUAUGCUAGUUUUAGGUUGGGGGGACCACGGAGUAUAAUUGAACCUCCAUAACAAAUGGGCUAACACCCUUAUCUACGAGAUACACCUCUAAGGAAUUACUAAACUAAUGUUUAAUGACCCAAUAAUUUGAUCAAUGAACCAAGUUACCCUAGGU
Molecule: ribosomal RNA, 437 nt
Filed under: Lithobates clamitans (bronze frog)
Lineage: Eukaryota; Metazoa; Chordata; Amphibia; Anura; Ranidae
Description: partial large subunit ribosomal RNA
Rfam family: Bacterial large subunit ribosomal RNA
Source: RNAcentral